UCUCUCUUGAGGAAAAUACUGCAUACUGAAACUGUCCAUGACAGGCAGUGUACCAGAGCCUGGGGUAAUUUCUCCAGCAGCUAACUAUCCAUAAAAUUGUGCCAGAUGCAUCCUCAGGUUCUCCAUCAGCCAGUAGAGCCAAGAGAAGGGGCAGCCCAGAGGGGAAACCACUGACUGCUGCAAAUAAGCCAAAGUCUAUCUGCUCAGAUUCACAUAGAUGAAGGAGGCAGAUGAUGUUGUACUGAUGCCUUAAGGAGAUUAAAGUCAUAGGUUUGAGGGUUGCUGGAACGUGUGGAAUAAACAGUCUGAGUCUUCUUUCUUCCAU
Ficedula albicollis (Collared flycatcher) is the source of this 325-nucleotide long non-coding RNA. Lineage: Eukaryota; Metazoa; Chordata; Aves; Passeriformes; Muscicapidae. The record is from Ensembl.